RNAcentral lists this ribosomal RNA (294 nucleotides) under Psyllaephagus sp. PII. RNAcentral describes it as "partial 16S ribosomal RNA". Lineage: Eukaryota; Metazoa; Arthropoda; Insecta; Hymenoptera; Encyrtidae. The record is from RNAcentral.
CUUUAUAAAUUUAAUUGUUUUAAAUUUUAUUUUAAGUAAAAAUUCUUAAAAAUUUAUAAAAGACGAGAAGACCCUAUAGAAUUUUAUAAAAUUAAUUUGUUAUAGUUAUUUUGUUUUUAAAUUUAUAUAUUUUUUGAUUUUAUUUUAUUGGGGAUAUAUAAAAAUUUAUUUAAAUUUUUAAUUUUAAAUUUAUUUAGUUAAUAAAUUUUAUUAAUUAAUAUUAUUAUGUAUAAAUUAAAUUACCUUAGGGAUAACAGCGUAAUAUUUUUUAUAAGUUCAUAUUGGUAAAAAUGU